This 253-nucleotide ribosomal RNA is filed under the name uncultured bacterium. RNAcentral's name for it is "partial 16S ribosomal RNA". It matches the Rfam family "Bacterial small subunit ribosomal RNA", at positions 524 to 776 of the family's 1533-position model. The record is from RNAcentral.
GACGAACCGUGCGAACGUUGUUCGGAUUCACUGGGCUUAAAGGGCGCGUAGGCGGGCCGUCAAGUCAGGGGUGAAAUCUUUCGGCUCAACCGGAAAAGUGCCUUUGAUACUGGCGGCCUCGAGGGAGGUAGGGGCGUGCGGAACUUCCGGUGGAGCGGUGAAAUGCGUAGAUAUCGGAAGGAACGCCGGUGGCGAAAGCGGCGCGCUGGACCUCUUCUGACGCUGAGGCGCGAAAGCCAGGGGAGCAAACGGG